This is a long non-coding RNA of Lotus japonicus, 1021 nucleotides long. RefSeq lists it as uncharacterized. The transcript is spliced from 3 exons. The record is from RefSeq and is a predicted model, not a curated record. Lineage: Eukaryota; Viridiplantae; Streptophyta; Magnoliopsida; Fabales; Fabaceae.
CUCACGCACACCCUCCCUCACAAUUCUAAUCCUCACGUUCACUCUCUGUUUCUUUCCCUCAUCACCGACUAUACACACACAAAAUGAAUAUACUAAAUUAUCUCCACUAUUUCUUCUUGCUUUAAGUACUGAAGAAAACAAUCAAACUUUUCUUUCAAACUCUUGUCACAAAAUCAAAUUCCAUUCUCACUCUCUUUAACGUGUCUCUGUGGCAGCACCUACAAAUUUCUCCAUCAAAUUUCUAUUCCAUAUUACUUUCUCCUACCACUAGUGCAAGAGCCUUGUCUAUUUAAUUAAAUCAAGAAGAAUCAGAUAUCAUCUUUUUCACAAUUGAAGAAGAGGGGUCGUGAACAAGUAGGAAGUGGAGAUUUCGGCACCGUUCCGUCGUUUCUUGACCGAUCGUCGCACUGAUAGUUGCUACGCGUAGACCUCGAGGUGAUUUUGAGGAAUUCCCAGAGGAGCAAGCCUUUGAUUGUGAACAAGUGUUAGGAGAUCGUCCUGGAGAAUCUACAGAUGUCUUUGGCGGACUGGUUCACGACGGUUCACCCUUCGGGGGAAACUAGAGUUGGGAUGCUGGAACAGGAGCGCAUCGCGAUAGCGAGCGGAGGACGGAUGGUGUACAUAGACUAGGUCGUUCUGGAUUUCGAAUUCGGACGACGAUCAUGCCAGCAUGUAGGAUUGAGUGUUAGUGUGAGCUCCUCGAGAUGGGAUUAGUGUAGGAGUAGAGUCUUAGCUCUGAACAUUAUUUGUUUCAUUCGGGACAGGGUAGUUUCCCACCUAUAGCUUUUUGUGUGGUUUCUUUACGGGAAUCACAGAGAGUUGGUUGGACUUAGGAGGUCUUGUUUCAGGCCGAUGGGCCAGCUUAUUCUCAGUUUUGAGGGAUAGUGUUGCGGACACUUACCUUUAGAUUUGGUUUGUACAUUUUGCCUUCGGGCGCUACACUUUUCUUUCCGUCACUGGAGGUUACUCGUGACGAGGUUGUUACUUACAGCGGGGGCUGUUUAUAUAUUGUAUAUUAACU